This 612-nucleotide ribosomal RNA is filed under the name Colletotrichum boninense. RNAcentral's name for it is "eukaryotic LSU rRNA". The stretch from base 251 to 404 matches the Rfam family "5.8S ribosomal RNA". The record is from RNAcentral. Lineage: Eukaryota; Fungi; Ascomycota; Sordariomycetes; Glomerellales; Glomerellaceae.
GAAGUAAAAGUCGUAACAAGGUCUCCGUUGGUGAACCAGCGGAGGGGAUCAUUACUGAGUUACCGCUCUAUAAACCCUUUUGUGAACAUACCUACAACUGUUGCUUCGGGCGGGGUAGGCCGUCCCCCUGAAAAGGACGCCUCCCGGCCCGGACCGGACCCCCCGCGGGACCGGACCCGGCGCCCGCCGGAGGAUAACCAAACUCUAUUGUAACGACGUUUCUUCUGAGUGGCAUAAGCAAAAUAAUCAAAACUUUUAACAACGGAUCUCUUGGUUCUGGCAUCGAUGAAGAACGCAGCGAAAUGCGAUAAGUAAUGUGAAUUGCAGAAUUCAGUGAAUCAUCGAAUCUUUGAACGCACAUUGCGCCCGCCAGCAUUCUGGCGGGCAUGCCUGUUCGAGCGUCAUUUCAACCCUCAAGCUCUGCUUGGUGUUGGGGCUCUACGGUCGACGUAGGCCCUCAAAGGUAGUGGCGGACCCUCCCGGAGCCUCCUUUGCGUAGUAACAUUUCGUCUCGCACUGGGAUCCGGAGGGACUCUUGCCGUAAACCCCCCAAUUUUCCAAAAGGUUGACCUCGGAUCAGGGGUACGGAAUACCCGCUGAACUUAAGCAUAU